CGUGCCAAGUUUGGGGAGGGAUAUGAAAAACGAGGAUUGGAUUGAAUGAGAAAAGGAGAGAGAAGGGAUGCGACAUGCCCAAUUGCACCGGAAGCAUGCAAAUCGCGAACUGGAUUCCACCCUGGGAAAUGGAGGACUGCGUCAUGCCCAAUGCAGUGAGAACGAGAAAAACCCAGGGAAAAUGGUCAUACCAGAAGAUGAAAGACCAGCAGUGAGAGGUCAAGGUUGCUCCUCAUCACCUGGAGGUGGAGAUCAGGUUGCCCCACCGCCACCCUCUCUGCCUGGAAUGUUCUCUCUCCUCGGCUACACUUCUGGAGAGCCUUCACUGUCUUCAGGUUCCAGCACCACCUGCUUGCUCUACACACCCUGCCUCUCCCGAUUUCCUCACUCUUUGUAUAUUUCACUUUGUAGAUUUCCUUAUCUUCAUAGACCGCCUUUUCUUCCAAGCACAAAUUGGGAUUCUUUCCCUUUUUUAUGCCCAGCCCGUGGCGCAGCUCCUGGCACAUGGGGGGCGGUGACGAAAUACUCGCGACUGAUCGGGGUGUCCAUCAUGGAGAGAACCCUCAAAGUCUUUCCCUUGCAGUGGCUGCAGCCCAGAAGAGAUCUUUCUGCAUCAUCUGCACCCCGCGGGAGAGGUAUUUUGGUGGACGUGAAUCAUGGCUCCCGUGUACUUAGCGGGUUAAGAUUUUUCCCUUUAGAAGAAGGCCAGAGCAAGUGUUAG
This 721-nucleotide long non-coding RNA is filed under the name Monodelphis domestica (gray short-tailed opossum). RNAcentral describes it as "lncRNA (ENSMODG00000050517.1)". The record is from RNAcentral. Lineage: Eukaryota; Metazoa; Chordata; Mammalia; Didelphimorphia; Didelphidae.